Molecule: long non-coding RNA, 6106 nt
Organism: Aedes albopictus (Asian tiger mosquito)
Lineage: Eukaryota; Metazoa; Arthropoda; Insecta; Diptera; Culicidae
Exons: 3
Source: RefSeq, a predicted model, not a curated record
ACUACAGUAGACGUUCGAUAACUGCAACAUGUUUACGUUUCACCUACCGAAUGAAAUUCGUUAAGUGCAACGACUGACAGACGUCAAAGACUUGUCAGUUGGUCUGAAAGUGAUCUAAAAUGCAUUCAAAAGUGCAUCGCUAUGCAACUGUCGUCUGCUUUGACAGAAACUUGACGGAUAGCGGUGCGAUAACUGCAAAACUGUUGCACUUACCGGACUUGCAGUUAAAAAGCAUUGCAGUUAAAGCGUUUGCACCGAGCGAACGUCUACUGUACAGCCUUGAUCAAUCGAAUUAGUUUAUCCGGGAAUAUGUAUUCGUGCAUAAUCUGCCAUAGCUGUUCUCGAUCGAUUGUAUCAUACGCCGAUUUGAAAUCGAUGAACAAGUGAUGUGUGGGCACGUUGUAUUCGCGGCAUUUCUGCAACACCUGGCGGAUGGCGAACAUCUGGUCCGUUGUAGCGCGUUCGCCCAUAAAUCCAGCCUGAUAUUGUUGCGUUGAUCGGCUGCCAGCCGAUCACACGUUGUCGCAUCUUGCCCAACACUACAAAAUCCUGUUCCCGCAGUUCAUUGAUGGUGCCACAACUUUGCUGGAAGGUAGCCGCGUCAUGCCCACUUUUCCACACUUUCUGUUCAGUCCAACAAAGUUCCUGCAACGCUACAAUGUCGAAGUUGCGGGGAUGUAAUUCGUCGUAGAUUAUGCUGUCACAUUCUGCGAAACCAAGUGACUUGCAAUUCCAUGUUCCAUGAUUCCAAUCGUUGUCUUUUUUUUCGUCGCGUAAAUUUCGAUUGUAGGUCUCUUUUUUUUUUCUAUUUCGUUUAUUUAAAGGCUCACUUGUUUAAUGAAAAACUCUACCGAGCCGAGAAUCAAAAGUAACAAUUUGUUAUUCUAAAUACAAUUGAAAAAAAAAGUAGUAAUUCGUCUUGCGAGCACAUUUCUUCUUGGGGGCCGAGCCGGAACCAGAACUUGACCGGGAUGCCGCAUAUUGGGCACGACGCUGAAAUGCCUGCGGGUUCGCAAUUGCCUCCUGGAUCACCUUGGCAACUUUUUCCAGCUCUUCCAUACCUUUCUUCCGUCGAAUCUCCUUGUCUAAUUCGGCUGCGGAUUUACUAACAGCUCCUUCCGCCAGUUCCUCUCCUCCUGAGUCCAUAGUCUUCUCAGCUACUACCGCUGUUACCGGCAACCCUGCCACCGGGUAGUCCUCCGGCUCAAACAAUCAGUGUGUGCGAGAAAUGAAAACUGUCAGCGAAAUGUCAUUCUUUCUGUCAGUGUUAUAAAAUAAUUGGUAUAAGUCAUAUCACCAAAAUUGCAGUGUCAUCAAGUGAUUUGCUGAAAUAACGUAGAGUUUAUUUGGAUAACUAUAUUAUUGUUUGAAUUGAAGAUUAUUGUAGAACCGUUUGUGAGGUGAAAGGAGACUAUAUCUUUGAGCUUACUUUGAUCGGGAACAAGGACGAGUUUGCUUCAAAAGACCUCCAAAACCGAACGUUCUCAACAAUAUUCAUCUUCUUCUUCUACAUAUUCUUCUUCCACAAUUUCAAUAAUAUCAUCCACUGUUUCUUUUUCAACUUCCUUUCCUGAUACUACCUCAGCGUACGAGCUGAGACUUGGGACCUGCUGCUGUCGUUUUUCCUGCUUGUUCCGGUUCACUCGUUGAGGACAAGUAUCUCGCCGGUGUCCCACUGCUUGGCAUAAAAAGCAUGUAUCCUUUAGUCCGCUGUAGAAGAUCCUUGCUUUCAUAUUCAGGAAAGUGAUCGCCGGUGGAAUCUCCUUCUUCACAUCGAUAUAUACGCCGCGUACUCCCGUGUACGAUCUAAUCCUAAGUCAGCGGGGAAUUUUUCCCUGACCACACGUUCCACUUUUCCAUACGCUGCGAGAACUUGCACCAAAUUAUCGUCUCGCAGUUCUGGUGGCAGGUCGAAAACUCGGACGUAGUGCACAUUGGUACCUGCGAUGCACAUGCGCACCACCACCGAUUCUCCAUUUGCAUAGGCAAAUCUCCGCGGCUCCAAAUUCUUUUUCAGAGAUUCCCUCAAUCCUUCCAGGCUCGUGAAUUUCACGAACAGGGAACGGUCACUUGCCGUUUUGUAAACGGUUUCCAUUAACAUGGGAUCGGUAUCCAACUGUUUGAUAAACGUGGCAAUUUCCUCCCAAGACGGUCGGGGGCUGCCGGGGGGAAACCGAAAUUGUGCGGUAUUCACAUCUUUGCUCAUCUCGCCGACACUCAAAGCAUCGAAACCCAGUGAAGCCAAAGUUAUUGACCGGGGAACAAAGCGCGCGUAACAAUAACUACGUUUGCCUAAGCAGCAGAGGCUAGAGGCACAGCAAAACCGAACCGCAAUGCGCACAUUUGCUUUCGAUUGUAGGUCUCGUGUCGUAUUUUCUUCUAUGUUAUUCGUAAUGGGGAUUUUUACGGAUGGCUUAUUGGGCCUACGCCAACACUCGUCUCGCCGGAGGGCCAUCGUGCCAGUUCUGUUUAACGUCCCAACCAACAGUGGGAAGACCACGUUGAUGGGGCAACCACCUUGGAUCUAGUUGGGCGUGAUGUAGCAUUUCUUACUCAUCCGCUGGAUGCCAGAACAGACGCUGUUUGAGCUGCACUUCCUUGGUGAACAGACGCUCGGGACGUACCUCCUCAAUCUAGCUAAAGUCAGAAGGACAACAGUGCCCAGUAUGCACUACCAGCUAUGCACACAACUCUUAGCUGGCGGUCUUUAUCAUCGGUUGACUCGUUGAAGCAUGAGGUAGGAAAUUGUGAGGACCAUAGCUAUGUUGGCCGCUCUCUUUAUUGACUCACCGUUUUGCAGCCCUAGGUACAUACCGGACUAAUUGGUGGUGGUAAAAAUGAUGAAAGAAUAAUGUAGGGUGGGGCGGGGCAAGAUGGGUCACCUAAGGAUGGAUCACCAUAACUUUGUGAAUACAAAUCGUACUGGUUUGUAUUCGUCCGCUACUCUAGUACACUAGUUAGCUAUGCUAAAAGCCGAUAAAAAGUUCAUUAAAUACAAAAUAUGAUGUUGAACAAGCAGUUUUAAAAAGUGAUCGAUUUUGCGCCGUGAAAAAAGUGCGGGGCAAGAUGGGUCACCUUUUAAGUAAUUCACUUUUUCUCAACGAAAAACGUCAAAAUAUAAGAUUUGUUCCACAUUCAUAUAUGCUCCAUAUCCAUACUGAGUAAACAAGAGCUACUAGUGAACAUUUUAUAAAAUUAUUUGGAAUAUAACAAACUUUACGAUUUGAGUGGUCCUAAGGCGACUUGAAAAUCGAUGUUUCCACUAAAAAAUUAUCAUAAUUUUGUGUUAUAAUUUUGAGCGUUCAUUCCGCUUGAUUAAAGUCAUUUAUGAGAUAGUCUUGUAAUAAAAAAUAAAUAACUUUUGAAUGCUUCAAAAAUACGUUCAAAAUUGAAGAUGACAUAUCUUGCCCCGCGGCCGUUUAUAUGGAGAUUAUAUGGAAUGUAUCCAGGGCCGGAUUUAGAAAUUUGGGGGCCCGGGGCCGCUGCUUUGUGGGGGCCCUUUGUAAAGAAGAUAAAUUUUGCCCAGAUAGCAUGAAGAAAAUAAAAAAAAAUCUCUUUCUUACAAAUAUGGUGAUGAAGGUAUUAAUGAAGUUGUGGAAGAAUCAUGAAUCUAGAACAAUAAGCAGAACUAUGAAAAAUGUCAAUAUCCACUAAAUUAUUUAUAACAGACUUGAAAUUCAAGCGUGAAAGCAGUGAUAAAAAAUGAUAUAAAGUAAAUAAUUGUUUUCAAGAGUGUAUUCGCCACAUUGGAUCCCAGAUUUAGUCGAAAUUCAAGCCAGAGUUCAUAGAGAAACUUCAAGAAGAAUUUAGUCUAGUCUAGUCUAGUCUACACAUAUACAGCCAUUCAUUGAAAGAAUCCUGGAAAAUGAUAGAAUCGACUAAUUCUACCAUUUUUCUUGUCAUUAUUAAUGUUUGCAGUACAUUGGAAAUGCAUUACAAGCAUUAAAGCGGCCAGGCCUACUGUGCAGCAUUAUUGUUUUUAUAAUAAAGCCAUUAAGUGGGGACAUCUCGUACCAACCACUCAGCUUUUGAGAAAGCAAAAUAAGUGAAAAUCGAUGGGGGUGACGAUGCUAAGAAGGUUAAUGUCACCCCUUGGUCCUUUGCUUUCUGGGAUGGAACACUGGUAUUUGGUCCGUGUCAUGGCCCUAAUGCCUAGGCUUAAGCGCCUUUACUCGCUCUCUGAAAUGAAACAAACUGGGUGCAAGGGAAACGUUGCGUAACUAAAAAUUGGUUUUCGAAGUUUAUAAAUGCCCAUAUAGCCGAGUUUGCGAAGUUUAUAAGGGCCCAUAUAGCCGAGGCGGUAAACGCACGGGUAUUCAGCAUGACCAUGCUGAGGGUGACGGGUUCGAUUCCCGGUCGGUCCAGGAUAUUUUCGUAAAGGAAAUUUCCUUGACUUCCUUGGGCAUAGAGUAUCUUCGUGCCUGCCACACGAUAUACACAUGCAAAAUGGUCAUUGGCAGAGGAAGCUCUCAGUUAAUAACUGUGGAAGUGCUCAUAGAACACUAAGCUGAGAAGCAGGCUUUGUCCCAGUGAGGACGUUACGCCAAGAAGAGGAGAGAGGAGGAGGAAAUGCCCCCUUAAGGAAAAAAAGGGAAAAUGUAGUUUGAAACGGGCUCACCGAUUUAUCUGGAAAUUUCUGUUCCUCGGUGUUGUAUGUAAGGGGAACGUCAUUACAGCACAGUCAGGCUUGCUCCUCGUCUCACCACCGUCGCGCACGCAGUCAGUCAGCAUUUUUGUGUUCCAGCACCGCGCCCGUCCAAACACAAAUUCUCACACGAUGAUAAAUAUCCCAAUAUUGAAGUAGUUUCACUUUAAUCACAGCUCUCCCGGACAAUUGAACUCGGCACCGCCCGAACACUCACAAUAAAUACGGAAAAUGAAAAAGAUUUGAAGGAUUUUGGCACGAAAAAAUGCGCACUUUCCAAACGACGCUUCCGGAUGGCGUAGCUCUACCAGUCCCCUUACCCCACGCAGAAAAACGCGAACCUUUCGAAUUUUUCACUUGUGGCACCGGAACUGAAAUCACAGUAUCCACGCAAACACGACUCGUAAACCUCGCCGGAUGGCGUAGCCCCACCAGCCGUUUCACGAUUCUGAAGGGCAAAUCCAAACUACCAGAGAAACUUCAAGAAGAAUUCAUAGCUGAAAUUAAGUAAUUUCAAUUAAAAUUUGUAGCGCAAUCGGUUGUGUCGUUUCUGCGAAAUCCAAAGAGAAUUCAUAUAUUGCAUCAGAGCCAGGAAAAGUUGCUGGUGAAGAACCCAACUAACAUUUUCAGCGCUAUAAGCUUAAGUCAUUUGCUUUCUGUUGUGUAACCAUCGAGUAAAAGCAGUCAACGCUGAAUAAAAGGAAAGCUAGUCAAAUAUAAAGCAUAAGCUAAUACACGACUGCAAAACAAGCACCAUCCAGCUACCAAACUCGGUUUUCAGAAAUUUAUUGCUUGUCACUGGGGCUGCCUUUACUCCACUCUAUUCCAACUCCGGGAGAUUUCCCGGAAGAUGUGAAAACUUGAACACAUCGAAUAGGAGUCCCCACUAACAAAACAGCUGCUACUAUACAGUACAAUUCGUUAUACUGACAAAUCCCCAAACCAGCAGCGCUUUAAAGGCCGUUAUGCGAUUUCAUUACGGCUAGAAGCUGUAAUAAAGAAACUGUUUGUUUACCAACACGACUUGUCGGAUGUAAACAUUAUUGUCAAAACAAACUUUAAGCGGGAUAUAUAGCUACUACACAAAUUCUUUACAGCUAUCCAUCUCUGUGCUGUGAUAUUUUUUGGGUUGCUUUUAUUGCACUUUAAUUCAAUGCCGGAAGAUUUUCCGGAAGAUGUGCAAAUCGAGUAAGAGUCCCAGCCACUACAACAGCUGCUUUUAUACAGUACGUUUUGUAAUGUUGCCAAAACACAAAACAGCAGCGCUUCGUAGCCGUUUAAAGAACACUCUUUCAGCUAGAAGCUGUGAAGAAGAAUCUGUUGGCGCAAUCACACAGCUUGUUCAAUGUAAACAUUAUUGCGUUUGACGUUUCACAAGCUUUUGCAGCAAGAUGAAGUUGGGUAAGGUUUCUUGUGGCACAAUUAUGAAGCCUUGUCUGGAGUAAAACAAAACGGGUUAUU